RNAcentral lists this ribosomal RNA (419 nucleotides) under uncultured bacterium. Its description in RNAcentral is "bacterial SSU rRNA". It matches the Rfam family "Bacterial small subunit ribosomal RNA", at positions 1061 to 1481 of the family's 1533-position model. The record is from RNAcentral.
CGUGUCGUGAGAUGUUGGGUUAAGUCCCGCAACGAGCGCAACCCUUGAUCUUAGUUGCCAGCAUUCAGUUGGGCACUCUAAGGUGACUGCCGGUGACAAACCGGAGGAAGGUGGGGAUGACGUCAAAUCAUCAUGCCCCUUAUGACCUGGGCUACACACGUGCUACAAUGGGCAGAACAAAGGGCAGUGAAGCCGCGAGGCUAAGCCAAUCCCACAAAUCUGUUCUCAGUUCGGAUCGCAGUCUGCAACUCGACUGCGUGAAGCUGGAAUCGCUAGUAAUCGCGGAUCAGCAUGCCGCGGUGAAUACGUUCCCGGGCCUUGUACACACCGCCCGUCACACCACGAGAGUUUGUAACACCCGAAGUCGGUGAGGUAACCUUUUGGAGCCAGCCGCCGAAGGUGGGACAGAUGAUUGGGGU